GAUGAACGCUGGCGGCGUGCCUAAUACAUGCAAGUCGAACGCUGGAGAUCUAGCUUGCUAGAUCGAAGGAGUGGCGAACGGGUGAGUAAUACAUAAGCAACCUACCCACGAAGACUGGGAUAAUCUCUGGAAACGGGGACUAAUACCGGAUAGGUAAUCGGAAGGCAUCUUCUGGUUAUUAAAGGUUAAAAACACUGGUGGAUGGGCUUAUGGCGCAUUAGUUAGUUGGUGAGGUAACGGCCCACCAAGACGAUGAUGCGUAGCCGGCCUGAGAGGGUGAACGGCCACAUUGGGACUGAGACACGGCCCAGACUCCUACGGGAGGCAGCAGUAGGGAAUUUUCGGCAAUGGGGGCAACCCUGACCGAGCAACGCCGCGUGAGUGAAGACGGCCUUCGGGUUGUAAAGCUCUGUUGUAAGGGAAGAACGGUAGAUAGAGAAUAUCUAAGUGACGGUACCUUACCAGAAAGCCUCGGCUAACUACGUG
Molecule: ribosomal RNA, 486 nt
Filed under: uncultured bacterium
Lineage: Bacteria
Description: partial 16S ribosomal RNA
Rfam family: Bacterial small subunit ribosomal RNA
Source: RNAcentral